Molecule: ribosomal RNA, 497 nt
Filed under: uncultured bacterium
Lineage: Bacteria
Description: partial 16S ribosomal RNA
Rfam family: Bacterial small subunit ribosomal RNA
Source: RNAcentral
GAUGAACGCUGGCGGCGUGCCUAAUACAUGCAAGUCGAGCGAACAGAUAAGGAGCUUGCUCCUUUGACGUUAGCGGCGGACGGGUGAGUAACACGUGGGUAACCUACCUAUAAGACUGGGAUAACUUCGGGAAACCGGAGCUAAUACCGGAUAAUAUUUCGAACCGCAUGGUUCGAUAGUGAAAGAUGGUUUUGCUAUCACUUAUAGAUGGACCCGCGCCGUAUUAGCUAGUUGGUAAGGUAACGGCUUACCAAGGCGACGAUACGUAGCCGACCUGAGAGGGUGAUCGGCCACACUGGAACUGAGGCACGGUCCAGACUCCUACGGGAGGCAGCAGUAGGGAAUCUUCCGCAAAGGGCGAAAGCCUGACGGAGCAACGCCGCGUGAGUGAUGAAGGUCUUCGGAUCGUAAAACUCUGUUAUUAGGGAAGAACAUACGUGUAAGUAACUGUGCACGUCUUGACGGUACCUAAUCAGAAAGCCACGGCUAACUACGUG